This 475-nucleotide ribosomal RNA is filed under the name uncultured bacterium. RNAcentral describes it as "SSU rRNA". It matches the Rfam family "Bacterial small subunit ribosomal RNA", at positions 26 to 518 of the family's 1533-position model. The record is from RNAcentral.
AGAAUCAACGCUGGCGGCGUGCCUAACACAUGCAAGUCGAACGAGAAAGUGGAGCAAUCCAUGAGUAAAGUGGCGACCGGGUGAGUAACACGUGACUAACCUACCUUCGAGUGGGGGAUAACCUAGGGAAACCUGGGCUAAUACCGCAUAACAUCUUUGGAGUGGAAAUUCUGGAGAUCAAAGGAGCAAUUCGCUUGAAGAGGGGGUCGCGGCUGAUUAGCUAGUUGGCGGGGUAAUGGCCCACCAAGGCUUUGAUCGGUAGCCGGCCUGAGAGGGCGCACGGCCACACUGGAACUGAAACACGGUCCAGACUCCUACGGGAGGCAGCAGUGGGGAAUUUUGCGCAAUGGGGGAAACCCUGACGCAGCAACGCCGCGUGGAGGAUGAAGUCCCUUGGGACGUAAACUCCUUUCGACCGGGACGAUUAUGACGGUACCGGUGGAAGAAGCCCGGCUAACUUCGUGCCAGCAGCCGC